GACGAACGCUGGCGGCGUGCUUAACACAUGCAAGUCGAACGGUAAGGCCCUUCGGGGUACACGAGUGGCGAACGGGUGAGUAACACGUGGGUGAUCUGCCCUGCACUUCGGGAUAAGCCUGGGAAACUGGGUCUAAUACCGGAUAGGACUCCGGACUGCAUGGUCUGGGGUGGAAAGCUUUUGCGGUGUGGGAUGGGCCCGCGGCCUAUCAGCUUGGUGGUGGGGUGAUGGCCUACCAAGGCGACGACGGGUAGCCGGCCUGAGAGGGUGACCGGCCACACUGGGACGGAGAUACGGCCCAGAGUCCGACGGGAGGCAGCAGUGGGGAAUAUUGCAGAAUGGGCGCAAGCCUGAUGCAGCGACGCCGCGUGAGGUAUGACGGCCUUCGUGUUGUAAACCUCUUUCAGCAUCGACGAAGCGAAAGUGACGGUAGGUGCAGAAGAAGGACCGGCCAACUACGUGCCAGCAGCCGCGGUAA
This 478-nucleotide ribosomal RNA is filed under the name uncultured bacterium. RNAcentral describes it as "partial 16S ribosomal RNA". It matches the Rfam family "Bacterial small subunit ribosomal RNA", at positions 28 to 523 of the family's 1533-position model. The record is from RNAcentral.